Long non-coding RNA from Mauremys reevesii (Reeves's turtle), 897 nucleotides. RefSeq lists it as uncharacterized. The transcript has 4 exons. The record is from RefSeq and is a predicted model, not a curated record. Lineage: Eukaryota; Metazoa; Chordata; Testudines; Geoemydidae.
UUGACCUAAAAGAGAGACCCUGACAUCAGCCAGGCAGGACAGAGGUGCAGGGCAGGGGGUAAACUCAGAGACCCCUGUGGUUUUGCUGCAGUACGUCUCCUCCUCAAAGUCUCUCCCUGAGGCUGAGAGAGAAUUAAUAUUCACGUACGUGAGCAUGAGGAUGAACCUCUUCGGAGUUUUCUCCUUUCCUACUACUGAUUUUGCUAGAAAACGAGCAUCCACAUUUCCUACCUAGGACUUUCUCCCAUAGAAUCACUGAGGACAUUGAGGCUCUGCACAAGCUCUUGGCAGAACUCCUGGAUGCCAUGCUGGGAAACCCUCUGGCAGAGUCCGCAGACACAGACAGGCUCCAAUACAUAUUGGAGUAUUGCAGUGGUGGAGUGAGGAGUCCAUGCAUCCAUUGUGAACUGAGAAAGUGUCUGAUGUGUCCUUUCCCCAGAGGGAGAGAUCUAGAUACCAUCAAUUGGCAGGAGAGAACCAGAGUGAGCCCAAAUGACCUUGGAACACCCAUUUCCUGAGCCAGUCAAGAGUGCUUGGCUUGAUUCCCAGUGGAAACCUACUGGCUACAUCAUUGUGACAACUAUUGCUAGAAGCUAUUCCACUAUCCUCUUGCAAAGUAAGGCUCCAAAAAACUGGAGACUUUCUAAGGGAUAUCUCUAGUUGCAAAAGGGGGCAGGGAGAGGGGAAGGCCAGGACCAAUAUUGACAAUGUCCAUGCAUCUACCUGUCAUCAACAAAAAGCAAACCUUAUGAGGAAUUGUAGGAUGAAGGUGGCAAUAUUUUGUACUUGCAUCAUGCGGUACCUUUCAUCAGAUAUUUCAGAGCAUGUUCUAAACUGUAACUAGAGCUCAACAUUCUUGCCAGGCAAGAACCAGUAAAUAUGGUUUCCUUUUUCAAA